Molecule: ribosomal RNA, 472 nt
Filed under: uncultured bacterium
Lineage: Bacteria
Description: bacterial SSU rRNA
Rfam family: Bacterial small subunit ribosomal RNA
Source: RNAcentral
AUGUUUGAUCCUGGCUCAGAACGAACGCUGGCGGCAGGCCUCAAACAUGCAAGUCUAGGGGGCGUAGCAAUACGUCACCGGCGGACGGGUGCGUAACACGUGGGAAUGUACCUAUUGGUUCGGAACAACUCAGGGAAACUUGAGCUAAUACCGAAUGUGCCCUUACGGGGAAAGAUUUAUCGCCAAUAGAUCAGCCCGCGUCCGAUUAGCUAGUUGGUGAGGUAAAGGCUCACCAAGGCGACGAUCGGUAGCUGUUCUGAGAGGAAGAUCAGCCACACUGGGACUGAGACACGGCCCAGACUCCUACGGGAGGCAGCAGUUGGGAAUCUUGGACAAUGGGGGAAACCCUGAUCCAGCCAUGCCGCGUGAGUGAUGAAGGCCUUAGGGUUGUAAAACUCUUUCGGCGGGGACGAUAAUGACGGUACCCGCAGAAGAAGCUCCGGCUAACUUCGUGCCAGCAGCCGCGGUAAUA